Molecule: small nucleolar RNA, 215 nt
Organism: Pygocentrus nattereri (red-bellied piranha)
Lineage: Eukaryota; Metazoa; Chordata; Actinopteri; Characiformes; Serrasalmidae
Product: ACEA small nucleolar RNA U3
Source: Ensembl
AAGACUGUACUUUCAGGGAUCAUUUCUAUAGUUUCUGACUUGGAAAUCUGAUUCGAAAGUGCUGCGUCUCUCUAACCGCGAUGACGAGUCGCGACGCUUCCCUCUGAGCGCGAAUCGGAUGGAGAGUAAUGAGUCAAAUCAUCCGCUCUUCAUCAUUGAUGACCGUUCCUGCUGUGUCUCACAGCCAGGAGGAGGGAGGUGUGAGCAGAGCGGCU